AAAAGCCCGCAGAUUUUCCAAGGUAAACAAACCACACGUGCGUCUAGCGUGGAAGACGAAUGGCAACUUUCAAAACGAAUCAACGUUUGCUACGCAUUGCGAAAAGUUAGUAACAUGCUGCUCAUGUUUCAAACUAAGACCAUGGCCGUUUAUUUUGUUUACGACACCAUUUCUCCGCCAAGAUUUUCCGAGAAAAUCGAGCAAAUUUCACAUAGGAUGAUUAGUUGUGGACAUUGCAUCUGUGUUUGUGCAGUUUUUAACAACUUGCCAAAAGGCCCUUAGGCGUUGUAUGCAAGCAGCUUGCGAUAGUUGAGUGGCUCCAAAAGUGAAUCCGAAAUGACGUCUUGAACAGCAGAAACACGGCUUUCCUUCACAUUUAACCCGCCAUCUGUUUGCCUCGCAUAGUAACAAGCAUAUCGGAAUUGCAUUAAAUUAAAAACUUAAUCGUCUUUCGAGUAGACUACAAGCCCCAGAGCACUUGUCUUCGUUUAAAA
Long non-coding RNA from Daphnia carinata, 494 nucleotides. RefSeq lists it as uncharacterized. The record is from RefSeq and is a predicted model, not a curated record. The transcript is spliced from 2 exons. Lineage: Eukaryota; Metazoa; Arthropoda; Branchiopoda; Diplostraca; Daphniidae.